CUAAAAACCGCUCGAUCUCAAAUCGAGUAUUUCAGGCUGCAUACCGCUAAGCCGAAACUUCGAUAAAUCAUAACUUCCUCAUACGAAGUCAGAUUUGGGCGUUCUAUAUAUAUUCGGAAACCUCGUUUCAACUACUACAACAUUAUCCAAAGAUAUUAAGUUUAUUUUACACUUAAAUUUUGACGCUUAUUUUUAUUCUUAAUUAAUCAAACCACAUAAUUAAGCAAUUAAGCACAAAACACAUAAUACUCAAAUAAUACAAUCUUAUUAUUUCAAAACGGGUUACAAAGGUUAACCUAGACUAUUACAUUGCUAAAAAUGGCAAGCCCGGAAACACAGGCGUUACAAUUCUCUCCACCUUAGAAUGAUUCCGUCCCCGGAAUCACACAUCAACAAACAAAUGCGGAUAGCGACUCAACAUGUCACUCUCCGUCUCCCAGGUGAGAUUCGGCCCAUUCGUGUGUUUCCAUCGGACAAGCACUAACCCAACCAUUUUGCGUCGCAACUUCUUAGUCUUUCGGUCAACAAUUGCCUCUGGUUCUUCAAUCAACCUUUUGUUCUCAUCAAUUCUCAAUUCAGAAAUUGGAAUUAUAUCGGGAACUUCUCCCGUGAACUUCCUCAAAUAACACACAUGAAAAGUGUUGUGAAUUCCAUUCAGUUCUUCGGGUAAUUCGAGCUUGUAAGCUUGGUUCCCAAUCCUCUGAAGAACUUUAAACGGUCCAAUAAACCUUGGACUCAACUUUCCCCUUUUACCAAAUCUUAUAAGUCCCUUCCACGGCGAGACUUUAAGCAAAACCGAAUCUCCAACCUCAAAAGUCAUCGGUCUUCGCUUCUUGUCAGCAUAGCUCUUUUGACGAUCUUGAGCUGCUAACAUUCUUUCCCUAAUUAUUUUCAACUUUUCAGCAGUUUGAUGAACCAUCUCCGGUCCCAUAAACUGCUUUUCCCCAGCCUCAAGCCAACAAGACGGCGUACGACACUUCUGUCCAUACAAAGCUUGAUAAGGUGCCAUCUUAAUGCUCGAGUGAAAACUAUUAUUAUAGGAAAAUUCUACCAACGGUAAAUGUUCAUCCCAAUUACCUAGGAAUUCCAAGGUACAUGCUCUCAGCAUAUCUUCAAGUGUUUGUAUUGUUCUUUCACUCUGACCAUCAGUCUGCGGAUGGUAAGCUGUGCUUAAACAUAACUUGGUACCCAUUUCCUCUUGUAGACUUUUCCAAAACCUUGAGGUGAAACGGCUAUCACGAUCCGAUACAAUCGUUAACGGAACACCGUGAAGCCUCACAAUUUCCUUCACGUAAGAAUUCGCAAGCUUUUCCAUAGACCAUUUCUCCCUGGCCGCUAUGAAAUGCGCACUCUUAGUGAAUCGAUCAACGACCACCCAAAUCAUGUCGUGACCAUUCUUUGUUCUGGGCAGUUUAGUGACAAAAUCCAUAGCAAUGUCUUCCCACUUACCCAUAGGCACAGGCAAAGGUUCUAAACUCCCGUACGGUUUCUGAUGUUGUGUCUUGACUCUCGCACAAGUCACACACUCGGCCACAUACUUUGCAACAUCAAGCUUCAUCGUCGGCCACCAGUAGUAGGGUUUCAGGUCCCUAUACAUUUUAGUGCUACCCGGAUGAAUCGAGUACAUGGUCUUGUGAGCUUCUUCCAUCAGAAGAUCUCUAAUUCCUCCUGACUUAGGUACCCAAAUACGAUCUUGGAAUACCUUCAGUCCAUGACCGUUAGUACCAAACACCAACGUUUUACCCAAACGUUCCUCCUUUCGGUCAUUUUUCUCAGAAGCUUCCUCUUGAGCUUUCUUUAUACUUUCCACAAUGGUCGAGACAACUUCAAUUCUCAACGCUCUUGGCCUCUUCCUUUCAAGAUUGACCUUCCGACUGAGAGCAUCAGCAACAACAUUAGCUUUACCGGGGUGGUAAAGUAUCUCGCAGUCGUAGUCUUUAAGUAAUUCUAGCCAGCGUCGUUGCCUCAUAUUCAAUUCUUUCUGAUUAAAGAGGUAUUGGAGACUCUUAUGAUCAGUGAAAAGUUUGCACUUCGUGCCAUAGAGGUAAUGCCUCCAUAUUUUCAGAGCGAAAACUACCGCUGCCAACUCCAAAUCAUGAGUCGGGUAAUUCUUUUCAUGCUCUUUCAGCUGUCGAGACGCAUAUGCUAUCACCUUUUCUCUUUGGGUCAAAACACAACCCAAUCCAACACCAGACGCAUCGCUAUAAACAGCGAAGUCUUCAACUCCAUCGGGUAGAGAAAGUAUCGGUGCCUCGCAUAGCUUCUUCUUUAACUUCUCGAAUGCUUCUUUAUGCUUCUCACUCCAAGCAUAAGUAGCUCCUUUGUGGGUCAAAGCUGUUAAUGGAGUAGCAAUCGAAGAAAAGCCUUGGAUAAACCUUCGGUAAUAUCCGGCUAAUCCUAAAAAGCUUCGAAUCUCCGUGGGACUUUUCGGUUGUUCCCACUUCGUCACAGCUUCGAUCUUCGCUGGAUCAACCAUUAUCCCUUCUUGGUUGACCACGUGACCCAAGAAUUGGACUUCACGAAUCCAAAAAUCACAUUUGGAGAACUUCGCAUAAAGCUUCUCCUUCUUCAAAACUUCUAACACUUCUCGCAAGUGUCUGCCAUGCUCCUCCUGGCUUUUCGAGUAGAUCAGAAUGUCGUCUAUGAACACUAUCACGGAUUUAUCAAGGAAAGGAUUACAAACCCUAUUCAUCAAAUCCAUGAACGCUGCUGGAGCAUUGGUUAGUCCAAACGACAUAACCAAGAACUCGUAGUGUCCAUAUCUAGUUCUGAAUGCAGUCUUCUCGAUAUCUUGCUCUCUUACUUUCAGCUGAUGAUAUCCUGACCUAAGAUCGAUCUUCGAGAAAUAGCUCGAACCUUGCAAUUGAUCAAACAGGUCAUCAAUCCUCGGCAACGGAUAUCUAUUCUUUAUUGUUGCCUUGUUCAGCUCUCUGUAAUCGAUGCACAUUCUCAUACUUCCAUCUUUCUUCUUUACAAAUAACACCGGAGCUCCCCAGGGCGAUGAACUAGGUCUAAUGAAACCUUUGUCCAAUAACUCCUGAAGUUGCAUCAUUAGCUCCUUCAUCUCCGUCGGUGCUAAUCGAUAAGGUGCUUUUGCUAUUGGCGUGGUUCCUGGUAACAAGUCUAUUCUGAACUCCACUUGUCUAUCAGGUGGUAAUCCAGGAAGAUCCUCGGGAAAUACUUCCGGAUAAUCACACACCACUGGAAUGCUCUGCAUCACCUUCUUUUCUUUCUUAGCAUCAAUCACGAAUGCUAAAUAUGAUGUACAUCCCUUGGUCAAACACUUUCUGGCUUUCAUUAGAGAAAUGAUUCCAGAAUUCACUCUGCGUUUGUCCCCAUACACCAUAAACGAAUCUUUUCCAGGCGGGUUUACUUUAACUAUCUUCUUCUUGCACAAAAUUUCGGCAUCAUUGGCGCUAAGCCAAUCCAUUCCCAAGACGAUGUCGAAACCAUUUAGUUCGAUAGGCAAUAAUUCCUCGAGAAACUUAUUCCCAUUAAGGUCGAUCAAGACGUUUUUCAUACGAUGGCUAACAGGUACAAACUUGCCACUAGCUACUUCGACUAAUAAAGCAUUAUUUAGUCUAUCAACAGGCAAAGCUAGCUUUCUACCAAACUCAUGCGAAAUAAAGGAGUAGUUGGCUCCAGAAUCAAACAAUAUAUGAGCAGGUAAUUCGUUUACGAGAAAGGUACCUGAAGCGACAUCAGCUUCAUCUUUCGCAGCCUCAAGUGUCAUCUGGAAGGCUCUCGCCUUCGGCUUUGGUGGAAUGUUGGGCCUAGCUGCCUCCUUCUUCUUCGGACAGUCUUUCAAAAUAUGCCCCUCUUCAUUACAACCAAAACACAUCCUUUUGUUGUUCGGACAUUCAUUGGCAAAAUGUCCAACCUUUCCACACUUGUAGCAGGUCACAUCCUCGCUACAUUUCCCAAAGUGCUUUUUCUUACACUUAUCACACCACUUUGCUUCGCCUCCUUUUCCUCCAAACUUUUUCGAAUCAGAUUUCGAAAAUUUGCUCUUCUUACUGGAACCAGAUGUUCCUUCAAACUUCCUUUUCUCACCAACCUCAACCUUGACGGUGGUUCUCCCCUUGAUCAUGUUCUCCACAGACUUGGCAGCCCAGAUAGCUGCCUCUAGAGUAAGUGCCUGACGUACCGGCACCUCGUACUCCCAUGGAAGUCCCUUCGCAUACCGAUCCACCUUUGUCAGCUCGUCUGGAACGAUACGCAAGGCAAACUCCAUCUUAUCGGUGAAGUUAUUGGUGUAUUCAUCAACUGACAUGCUACCCUUCGUCAAUGUCAAAAACUUAUUCUCCAACUCCAACAGAUUUUGAGCCGAGCAGAACUUGCGCUUGAACUGCACCAAGAACUCUGCCCAUGACAAUUGCAGUGGCUCAUUAGGGCUUAAGGUCUUCCCUAGAGUGUUCCACCAACGAACGGCUCCACCUUGGAAUUGACGCACUGCAUAGAUAGUCUGCAACUUGCCUCUACAGCCACCAGUCAUGAAGGCUAACUCCAUUUCGGAGAUCCAAUCCAUAACCCCAAUUGGAUCCUCCUUUCCAUUGAAGGUCGAUGGUUUACAAGUCAAAAAGUCCUUGUACUUGCAUCCCAUUCCAUCAUUCCUUCCAUCAUGGUUAUCUUGCCUAACUAUCGGUGGGUUGGCUUGACCAAUAGACCCACUGAAGUUUCCACCUUCCGAGUGCCCUUCAUUUAAUUCAGGCUCUUCCACACGAAUUGACAAUUCAUCAUGAUUCUGUUGAAGCAACCGCCUAGUUUCAUCCAUCUGUCGAUCCAACAUCUCUUGAAUCAUCAUUUGCACACCAGCCAUGGUUAUUAGCUUAGGUGCUGCUGCUACGACAGGAAUUUCUUCAAUCACUGGUGGCUGAUUCCAGUUUUCAUCAGCAUUUCCAACUCCACUUCUUGCUCUCACCAUUUUGAUCUACACACCGAAUAAGGUGAAAUUAGAUCCUCAAUCAUGAUAGAUAUUCAAAUCAUCCUUAUCACUCCGAAACGUUUACAUGCUAGUUCUAAUAUCGUAGACGUACGCUUAGAAUCCUACACACAUAAGGUUUCUAGAUCCGGUCGGCAACAGACCAUAGAUCCGAACAAAUAAUAUCAUAUAUGGCAACAUAUAACAUUUAGCACAUAAAGCAUUUUAGGCAACUUUCCUAAAAUAAACUAGUGCUCGUGUCUAAAACUUAACAGACACGCAUCUCAAAACUUCACUUAGCAUUCUAAGUUUAAGUCUAGAAAUCCUACAAAUUCCUAGUUCGCUUAAACUAAUGCUCUGAUACCAACUGUGACAUCCCCAAAAUCUCGGCCAGAAAAGACCGAUUUUCAUUUAUGCUUUUAAAUAUUUUCAGAGUAAAUCCUUUUGAUUUGAAAGAGUUGCGGAAUUUGUUCCCAAAAACAAAACAUGAUAAAACAAUGUUUACCAAAGAAUUUCAUAAAAGAAAUGUAUUUUCAUUAUAUAAUCAAAACUCGGGGUGUCAUGUUCCGAUACAGACCAAUAAGCAUAAACGAUAACAUUACAAGUCAUUCAACAAAUAUAUACAUAUACAAACUUGUAAACAAAACAACUUGAUGGUUCAUCCAUCUUAUGCCCUUGCGCCACUUCCUGUAAUACAAAUAAAACUGAGUGGGUCAGGCUUGGGAGCCUGGUGAGCAUAUAGGGUUUUCAACCCACAAUAAAUAAUUAUAUUUAAUUUCCACCAACCAACAAUAACCCAAUUACCCAUUCCCGUUAUUCUCACUUUAUGUCCCUAAGACAACUAACAUAAGGGACCUAGUCUAAGAAUAUUUCAUCGGGGCGACAACACAUGCUUCGGGGGUUCCUCAGCAAUAUAAGUCAAAUAAGGCAACCAUGAGGGGGAUGGAGUACAGCGAAUGAACACCCAAGUUCAUUAACACCUACAGGUGGCGAACCUGCUAAUGUUUCCACAAGACUAUCUAGAAAAGUCCGUGGUCGUCAUCUAAACUCCGCUAGAUGACUAAAUCAAACAACAACGAGGCCUCUCAUCUGUUUAUUACACACCAACUAUCUACCCAUGUUCUACCCAACAUAUUAGUAGAUAAAAAUAUACAUUUUUAUACAUAGUUUAAAAACCUGUAUAGCAUGCUUUAAUCAAUACAUAUUCCACAUAACAGAUGAGGCACACACACACAAAACACGUAUUUCGUAGAGAGUAAAUCUUAUCCAUGAGAUAAGAGAAAGUGAAUAGACAUUCACACACAUAACCACAAAAUUAUACACAUAAUACGUAUUCCGUAUAAAAUACUUCAUAAUUAUGCGUUAGAAGAAAGUAACUACACACUCACACAUAUAAACAACAAUAUACGUAAUACACUCAAACCAUACUUGUAUUAUUAUCGUUUUUAUGAAAGGUAGUAUACACUCACUUGAUCAGAAGAUGAUCGGACAGCACUACGGCUUGCAGAAGUAGUAUUCUUUAGCAGAUCUGAAAGAUCUCUACAAAAAUCGAACUUCUCGCGGGCAGAGCUUCGGCUCGGGAAUCGCACUUCUCGGGAUCUUCGGGAGCACGAAGCUUCCUUCUUAACUUGGAUAUGAGAUCCGGGGCGUCGGGAUGGCUUCGGGGGUUUACACGCAGAGCUUCGGCAUAAAAUGGAGGAGAAAUAAGCAAAUAAGCCCGGAACCCUCGCAUCCUAUUUAUAGGAGGCUGGAGCCUCGGAGUACGCGGGGCGUACGCCUGUAGGCAGGGCGUACUGGUCCAAAAUCGUCAUUGUGUUCGUCAUCCGAAGAACUCGAGUGUGAAGGUCGUCAUGCUUCGCUGUACGCGGGGCGGACAGCAGUAUGCUGGGCGUACUUCGGAUAUGCCCGGUGACUCCCCCUUCGGAUAAUAUCGGGUUUUAUAAUUAAAUUUAAAUACAAAUUAUUUAAUAAACUUCAGAAAUUCAUAUCUUCUUCAUACGAACUCCGUUUUCGACGUUCUUUAUAUCCACGCAUAGGUGAGACUACGCUCUACAACUUUCGUUUGGACUCUGUUGGCUAAUUUUAAAUUUAUUUUUAUUAUUUAUUUUUAAUAGGCCGGGACAGAAAAACUUCGUUAUAAAAUCGUAACUUCUUCGUUUAACGUCCGUUUUCGCCUAACUUUUCAUCGCUUCGAUGCCAACAACGAGACCUUCGAUCCUCGUUUAGAUUGCUUCGGCUACAAACCGCUCGAUCUCAAAUCGAGUAUUUCAGGCUGCAUACCGUUAAGUCGAAACUUCAAUAAAUCAUAACUUCCUCAUACGAAGUCAGAUUUGGACAUUCUAUAUAUAUUCGGAAACCUCGUUUCAACCACUACAACAUUAUCCAAAGAUAUCAAGUUUAUUUUACACUUAAAUUUUGACGCUUAUUUUUAUUCUUAAUUAAUCAAACCACAUAAUUAAGCAAUUAAGCACAAAACACA
RNAcentral lists this long non-coding RNA (7400 nucleotides) under Lactuca sativa (garden lettuce). RNAcentral describes it as "long non-coding RNA (LSAT_LNC002448)". The record is from RNAcentral. Lineage: Eukaryota; Viridiplantae; Streptophyta; Magnoliopsida; Asterales; Asteraceae.